CCUACGGGUGGCAGCAGUGAGGAAUAUUGGUCAAUGGACGAAAGUCUGAACCAGCCAAGUAGCGUGAAGGAUGACUGCCCUAUGGGUUGUAAACUUCUUUUAUAUGGGAAUAAAAUGUUCCACGUGUGGGAUUUUGUAUGUACCAUAUGAAUAAGGAUCGGCUAACUCCGUGCCAGCAGCCGCGGUAAUACGGAGGAUCCGAGCGUUAUCCGGAUUUAUUGGGUUUAAAGGGAGCGUAGGUGGAUUGUUAAGUCAGUUGUGAAAGUUUGCGGCUCAACCGUAAAAUUGCAGUUGAAACUGGCAGUCUUGAGUACAGUAGAGGUGGGCGGAAUUCGUGGUGUAGCGGUGAAAUGCUUAGAUAUCACGAAGAACUCCGAUUGCGAAGGCAGCUUACUGGACCGCAACUGACACUGAGGCUCGAAAGUGUGGGUAUCAAACAGGAUUAGAUACCCUUGUAGUC
RNAcentral lists this ribosomal RNA (460 nucleotides) under uncultured bacterium. Its description in RNAcentral is "partial 16S ribosomal RNA". It matches the Rfam family "Bacterial small subunit ribosomal RNA", at positions 338 to 795 of the family's 1533-position model. The record is from RNAcentral.